AGGCCAGCAAGCCUUUGAAAUGAUACAUGCCUACAUCCUAAGCUGACCCUUUAUCACAUCUGUCAUUAUAAAAGUGAUAAGGUGACACGCAUGGAAAAAUGGCUCUUUAGACUUCGGACUGCUUGUGAAACAAUGUCUCUGUCCACUUGCUACUGUUGUCUCUUGCCCCCCAAACCAGGAAGGGGAUGUUACUAUGAGACCUGCCUCCUCUGUGACUGGUCAUCAAGGAAACGCUCUUGCUGCCCCAGGGACUGUACCACCAUGCUGGCAUCACUGCACCUCUGCAUGGUGAUUGUCCAGCCAGAAGCGACAGUGAUCAGCAGGUUUAUGCAACCUCCGUAAAUAUUUCUUGCCAGUCUGUUUACUCCACACCUGUGGGGCUGAGAAGGUGGCUCAUCAUCUCUUUGCCAAGGCCAAUGGUUCUGUACCUGUUAAUAUAUGAAGUCUGGUCCAGUAUAAGCUGGGGCAUUUGGGUGCAGAAAGCAUUCUGCAUUUGGAGCUGGUUCCCUUUCUUCUUCUGAAAUUAUGAGCACAUUUCUGCAGGACCAAUUGGAGUCUCAGGGGAAAAACAUCUUCUGUUCUGGAUUUAUUUUUCUAUCUGUAACAUAUAUAAUUAGUAAAAUGAGGUAAAGUGAAUACUGAGACAAUCACAUCUACAGAUUGAAUCAUUUUCAUAACAUGUUUCAAAAGGUAAAGCAGAAGAUUAGGGUAGGUUCUAGCCCUCCUGAGCCAGUGUGAGCAGUUUUAACCUGAAUAUGUUGGACUUUUCCCAAAGCUCUUGAAUUACAUGUAACUCAAGUCUUAGCCCCCUUGAGGUAGGAAGGCACAGUACUUGCAUCCCCCAGAGUACCUGGUACCUGUGUACCCUCUCCAGGGGCUGCCCUCGCUUUGUUCCCCUAGCUUCCCUUCUCACCACUGAUAAUACAGCCUGGAGCCCCUCCUCCCCUCCGAUCAGUGACCAGAGCCGUCUUCACCCCGAAAGUGGACACAUACCUCCUAGGAUCCCACAGCAGAAUUCACCCCAAACGUGGGAGCCGUGACCGUGUAUCCUGGAUAAUCGUCCUUCGAGGACAGCCUCAUCAGCUGAAAUUGCUCUCACCUCGUCCCCAGUCGGCAGUGAUUUAUGUUUUAGAAUCAUUUGAAACUGAUGUUUUACAGAAAUGGAAUCUAUCUGGCUUGUAUAGUUUAGACCUGUAAGGAAGGAAAAAUAAUUUUACCCACACAAUUUCAGGUUCUUUGCUGAGACCCCCCUGUGGUAAAAGACAGAUUACCAGGAAAAAAAAACCAGUUUAAUAGCAUGUAUACCUCCCAUAUACAUGGGAGAUACCCAGGCAAGCUGAGUAACUCCCGGCAAUGGCCCAAGCCACCACCUCCAGUCCUCCAAGUCUCCAGCUAAAGACAAAAGGUGGUGUUGGGGGUGCGAGAGCCAGUGACAACAGGUGACCUAGAAAAGCACAGUCAACACGGGCGAGGUAGUUAUGCAGACUUGAGUGCUUGGCUUCUCCAUUGAUAAGACUUCUGUGAGACUUAAGGUCAUCCUUUCCUCCAUGGUACGGAGAGGGGGACCCCCUGACACAUGGAGGUCCCCCCAAUAAAUGUACAUGUCUCUUACAGAGGGAAACUUCUACUCAGUUUUCAGAACUUCUCCUGUGCCUGCUGUUGCUUAAAAAUAAUCAGCCUCAAGAUAAUCCUUACACCAAGUAGUCAUGUUUAGGGGUGUCAUAUUCUGUUCCCUCCAACCUAGUGGACUUUUUUAUUUUUUAAAUGAUUUUUAUUUUUUUCCAUUAUAGUUGGUUUACAGUGUUCUGUCAGUUUCUACCAUACAGUAAAGUGAUCCAGUCACUCAUAUAUAUACAUUCUUUUUCUCACAUUAGCCUCCAUCAUGUUUCAUCAUAAGUGACUAGAUAUAGCCCCCUGUGCUAAACAGCAGGAUCUCAUGGCUUAUCCACUCCGAAUGCAAUAGUUUGCAUCUAUUAACCCCAGACUCGGAGUCCAUUCCACUCUCUCCUCUUCCCCCUCAGCAACCACAAGUCUCUUCUCCAAGUCCAUGAGUUUCUUUUCUGUGGAAAGGUUCAUUUGUGCCAUAUAUUAGAUUCUAUAUAUAAGUGCUAUAAUAUGGUAUUUCUUUUUCCCUUUCUGACUUACUUCACUUUGUAUGAGAGUCUCUCGUUCCAUCCAUGUUGCUGCAAAUGGCAUUAUUUUGUUCUUUUUAAUAGCUGACUAGUAUUCCUUUGUGUAUAUCUACCACACCUUCUUAAUCCAUUCCAGUGGACUUGAGACAUCAUUGCCUAAAAGUCUUACUUGUAAGGAGAGAUGAUUCCAGAGAAAUUAUGUAGCAUGCCCUGGAUAUGCCAUGAACCUCAUAUGUUGCUGUUUUCAUAAUGCAUCACUUCUCUUGUAGUAUCAUUUGAAAACACAUUCAGCAUCAAAGAGCAUGUUACAUAUUUUUAACCAGUAAACCAAAAGAGUUUCUGAAAUGUUAGAUUUUUCUUUAGGUAUUAAGAUAAAAUUCAUUGCAAAAGUUUUCUCUGAAAAUGAGACCCUUAAAAAUAUGUGAGUAUAUUUCCAUACAAUGCAGCAUGGAAAAGUGUGGUCCUUAAGGUUCAUUUCUGUCCUGUUUUUCUUUUAGAAACCUUAAGGGGGGGGUUUGAAUAGUUUCAACAAAGCAUAAUGUUAUGCCAAAUGAAUUUUGUGUUUAGAGAUUCUUAGUCUAAAAGGAAUUUAAGCAGAACCAUUUGAUGGUAUAACACUUCGACUCUGAUAAAGCAAAAGCAGUUGAUGAGCUAUCAUGAUAGACAAAGCAAUCUGAAGUUCUGUCAAAGUCAAUGAAUUUCUGUACAGAAUUUUUCACAUAGCACAUUUCAAAUGGUCUUGGGGUAGAAAGUCAGAACCCUCCCUUGAAAAAUCCAUUUAUACCCAUCUAGAGAUAGCCAUAAGCAACUUAAAGGAAACAAAAAAACCUUAAAAUUUGUUUUUCCCCUUAAAUAUGAAGCUUAUUCUUAAGAACUUGGAGAUAAUUUCCUAAAAAUGAUUUCAUUAUCAAAUAGUUUUGAUUUAUUACCAAGAUCAAAACUCAGUGUAGCUAAUUGCCUUUUCUUUAUCUAAGAGGUUCAUCAUUAUUGAAGCUGCAUUAAAAAAAAAAAAGAAUAUCAAGAACAAAAGAGAAAUGCACAUUACCUUCCUUUUCAAAAUAGUUGUAGUUUUCUUACAAUCUUAUUCAAUAAUAGUUUCUAGCUCUUUUUGAUUAGUAGAAAGGCACAUCUGCUUUUUUUUUUUUAUAACUAAAAGUGCCUUCAGAACUGUCUUCCUUUUUAUUGUCAUUAUCAAAACCAUGAAAAAAAGCAUAGCGUGAAAAAAAUUUUGAAGAGCAAAAAGUGAAAGUUAAAAGAAACUAUAAAAGAAAUAGCAGCUGUAUCUGUCAUGACAAUAAGUGUAAAUUAGUCCUCAUCCCAAGAAAAAAAAUUGUAACAAUGUGUGGUGAUGGAUAUUAACUAGACUUACGGUAGUGAUCUUUUUGCAGCAGAUACAAAUACCAAAUCAUGAUGGAUGUUGUGUACCUGAAACUAAUAUAAUGUUAUAUGUUAGCUUAAAAAAUAACUGUAGAUGAGAUAUAUUUAUCCGCCUGUUAAAAACAAAAGAUUCUCACACUUAAGUUCACACACACCCAAAAAGAUUGCAGUGAGCAGAACUAGCAACUACCACCAUAUUCCAGAGAAAUCAGUUUAAAAAAAAAAAAGUAAAAAAAAAAG
RNAcentral lists this long non-coding RNA (3749 nucleotides) under Sus scrofa (pig). Its description in RNAcentral is "lncRNA (ENSSSCG00005023879.1)". Lineage: Eukaryota; Metazoa; Chordata; Mammalia; Artiodactyla; Suidae. The record is from RNAcentral.